This 433-nucleotide ribosomal RNA is filed under the name uncultured bacterium. RNAcentral's name for it is "partial 16S ribosomal RNA". It matches the Rfam family "Bacterial small subunit ribosomal RNA", at positions 29 to 507 of the family's 1533-position model. The record is from RNAcentral.
AACGAACGCUGGCGGCAUGCCUAACACAUGCAAGUCGAACGAGACCUUCGGGUCUAGUGGCGCACGGGGGCGUAACGCGUGGGAACCUGCCCUUAGGUUCGGAAUAACUCCCCGAAAGGGGUGCUAAUACCGGAUAAUGUCUUUGGACCAAAGAUUUAUCGCCUUUGGAUGGGCCCGCGUUGGAUUAGCUAGUUGGUAGGGUAAAAGCCUACCAAGGCGACGAUCCAUAGCUGGUCUGAGAGGAUGAUCAGCCACACUGGGACUGAGACACGGCCCAGACUCCUACGGGAGGCAGCAGUGGGGAAUAUUGGACAAUGGGCGAAAGCCUGAUCCAGCAAUGCCGCGUGAGUGAUGAAGGCCUUAGGGUUGUAAAGCUCUUUUACCCGGGAUGAUAAUGACAGUACCGGGAGAAUAAGCUCCGGCUAACUACGUG